UACGUAGGGCGCAAGCGUUGUCCGGAAUUAUUGGGCGUAAAGAGCUCGUAGGCGGCUUGUCACGUCGGGUGUGAAAGCCCGGGGCUUAACCCCGGGUCUGCAUUCGAUACGGGCUAGCUAGAGUGUGGUAGGGGAGAUCGGAAUUCCUGGUGUAGCGGUGAAAUGCGCAGAUAUCAGGAGGAACACCUGUGGUGUAGACAGCUUACUGGACCAUUUCUGACGCUGAGACACGAAAGCGUGGGGAGCAAACAGG
RNAcentral lists this ribosomal RNA (253 nucleotides) under uncultured bacterium. Its description in RNAcentral is "partial 16S ribosomal RNA". It matches the Rfam family "Bacterial small subunit ribosomal RNA", at positions 524 to 776 of the family's 1533-position model. The record is from RNAcentral.